GCUUUCGUGGGGUAAUUGAAAGCAUAUUCGAUCCGUAUUCGAGAGGUCUAGGGUUCGAGUCCUGACGAGAGCA
RNAcentral lists this transfer RNA (73 nucleotides) under Stegodyphus mimosarum. It matches the Rfam family "tRNA". From Rfam's summary of the family: Transfer RNA (tRNA) molecules are approximately 80 nucleotides in length. Their secondary structure includes four short double-helical elements and three loops (D, anti-codon, and T loops). Lineage: Eukaryota; Metazoa; Arthropoda; Arachnida; Araneae; Eresidae. The record is from Rfam by way of RNAcentral.